ACAAUGAUACUCCCGCCCAGUCACAGUCGGCAUUUCACCACAGGCAAUGAGGGCGGUUUCGAGAGAUCCUCGAGGGGGUGCGACCCCCGUG
Molecule: non-coding RNA, 91 nt
Filed under: uncultured Faecousia sp.
Lineage: Bacteria; Bacillati; Bacillota; Clostridia; Eubacteriales; Oscillospiraceae
Description: pemK RNA
Rfam family: pemK RNA
Source: RNAcentral